AACGAACGCUGGCGGCAUGCCUAACACAUGCAAGUCGAACGAUACCUUCCGGUCUAGUGGCGCCCGGUUGCGAAACGCGUGGGAACCCGUCAUUAGGCUGGGCAUAACUCCCCGAAAGGGGUGCGAAACCCGGACAAUGUCUUGGGACCUACUAUUUAUGGCUUGUGGGUGGGCGAGCGUUGGGGUAGCUUGUUGGUGGGGCAGAGGCCUACCAAGGCGGCGACGGGUAGCCGGACUGAGAGGGUGAUCGGGCACACUGGGACUGAGACACGGCCCAGACGCCUACGGGAGGCAGAAGUGGGGAAUAUUGCAAAAUGGGCGCAAGCCUGAUGCAGCAACGCCGCGUGCGGGAUGACGGCCUUCGGGUUGUAAACCGCUUUCAGCAGGGACGAAGCUUUUUGUGACGGUACCUGCAGAAGAAGCACCGGCUAACUACGUG
RNAcentral lists this ribosomal RNA (439 nucleotides) under uncultured bacterium. RNAcentral describes it as "partial 16S ribosomal RNA". It matches the Rfam family "Bacterial small subunit ribosomal RNA", at positions 28 to 507 of the family's 1533-position model. The record is from RNAcentral.